CGUAGGGUGCAAGCGUUAAUCGGAAUACUGGGCGUAAAGCGUGCGCAGGCGGUUAUAUAAGACAGUGUGAAAUCCCCGGGCUCCAACCUGGGAACUGCAUCUGUGACUGUAUAGCUAGAGUACGGUAGAGGGGGAUGGAAUUCCGCGUGUAGCAGUGAAAUGCGUAGAUAUGCGGAGGAACACCGAUGGCGAAGGCAAUCCCCUGGACCUGUACUGACGCUCAUGCACGAAAGCGUGGGGAGCAAACAGGA
Molecule: ribosomal RNA, 251 nt
Filed under: uncultured Burkholderiales bacterium
Lineage: Bacteria; Pseudomonadati; Pseudomonadota; Betaproteobacteria; Burkholderiales
Description: partial 16S ribosomal RNA
Rfam family: Bacterial small subunit ribosomal RNA
Source: RNAcentral